GUGGGGGCCGUUGGUUGGUGCGCGGUUGAGGGGUGUGGCGCGAGCAGCGCCGUUGGUUGGCCGGCGGCGGGCCGGGACGGGCAUGGCCCUGCUGCUGUGCCUGGUGGGCGUGACGGCGGCGCUGGCCCACGGCUGUCUGCACUGUCACAGCAAGUUCUCCGAGAAGUUCUCCUUCUACCGCCACCAUGUGAACCUCAAGUCCUGGUGGGUGGGCGACAUCCCCGUGUCAGGGGCGCUGCUCACCGACUGGAGCGACGACACGAUGAAGGAGCUGCACCUGGCCAUCCCCGCCGAGAUCACCCGGGAGAAGCUGGACCAAGUGGCGACAGCAGUGUACCAGAGAAUGGAUCAGCUGUACCAGGGGAAGAUGUACUUCCCGGGGUAUUUCCCCAACGAGCUGCGCAACAUCUUCCGGGAGCAGGUGCACCUCAUCCAGAACGCCAUCAUUGAAAGUCGCCUCGACUGUCAGCGCCACUGUGGCAUCUUCCAGUACGAGACCAUCUCCUGCAACAACUGCACAGACUCGCACGUCGCCUGCUUUGGCUAUAACUGCGAGUCCUCGGAGCAGUGGGAGUCAGCUGUCCAGGGCCUGCUGAACUACAUAAAUAACUGGCACAAGUAAGUCCCCUCCUCAAACCGACACAGGCAGUGUGCGUGUGUGAGCACCUCGUGGACAGGACGUGAGCAUGAGGUAAGGCUGCCUUGACCUGGCCUUCAGGGGAAGGGAGUAAAGGAAGCGGGGGGACUGGGGGUCCUCUAGGUCAGUGGGGGCACCGCAGGUGGGGCUCUCCCUAUACCUGGGACACCUGCUGGAUGUCUCCUCUGCAACCACACCCAUGUGGUGGUUUCAUGAACAAACUACGCUCCUCCUCCUUCUCCUGGCCUGGGAUGCACAGAGCCACCCCAGCCUUCCUGGUAUCGCCGGCCUUCAGGUGUCUGGAGCCCCCACACCUGGCCAACCUGACCUUGGAAGAUGCUGCUGAGUGUCUCAAGCAGCACUGACAGCAGCCGGGCCUGCCCCAGCGCAACGUGGGGCCAGGACUCAGCUGGACAGCCCCCGCCUGUCCCUCUGGAGCUGGGCUGCUGCUGCCUCAGGACCCCCCCUCCAACCCCGGACAGAGCCUGAGCUGGCCAGGGCUGGGAGGGCGGGAGGGAGGGAGCCGUGUACAGCGUCAGCGCCUGGGCAGGUCUGCGGAGCUGCGAGACGUGAUGAUUAAAGUCCCUGAUGUUUCUC
This is an RNA transcript of Cercocebus atys (sooty mangabey), 1234 nucleotides long. It is a transcript of the gene named IZUMO family member 4, with no coding region annotated. The transcript has 9 exons. The record is from RefSeq and is a predicted model, not a curated record. Lineage: Eukaryota; Metazoa; Chordata; Mammalia; Primates; Cercopithecidae.